AUGGGCGCAGUAGAUCGAAGGGAGGAGAAGUGGAAAAAGGAGACCUUUGACUCCGGCGGGCUCCUGGGUGAGCUCCUCCACCUACCUCUUUGCGAUCCGCCAAGCAGCCGCCGCGCAAGGAGGGCGAGAAAGGAGGGCGCCCGGCCGCCGUGCCCCGCCGCUGCGCAAGGAGUACACACAUGGUCGUUGGACAGGAGCAGCGGAAGGAUCGACAAAAAAAAUGCAUGCUUCACGUUGGGGAACGAGGUGGGGAACGAGGCGGCGUGGCCGCGUGGGGCAUGGGGCGGGAAGGGUGGUGGCAGCGGGGGCGGCGUGGGACGGGAUGGGUGGUGGUGGAGAGGGGCGGCGGGGGCAGAAUUGGGCGGCAACACGGCGCCCGUCGUCGGGAAGGGUGGUGGUGGAGAGGGGCGGAGAGAGCGAGGAAGAAGAGGGACCUCAGGUUCGAUGUACAACAAUAGAAGGGAAAUGUGCAUGCAGACGAUCAUGUGUUUGACGAUCAUACUUCUAAGUCCUUACUAUAACAACAAGAAGUUAAUCAGCAUGAUGUACUUAUGUUGUUGUGAUCAAACAUGUUGUCAUGCUUUAAAUGCCAUGGUUGCGGGGGGAGGAAGCGUCUAUACUGCCAGUGCUACUUACAAUCUGCAGGCUGCAGAAGCUCCUGACCCAGGAAUCAAGGCGGCAAUAUGGAAGGUUUGGGCCCUCGAAACUGUCAAGAUUUUUGCAUGGUUGCUUCUCCAUGACAGGCUCUGGUGCAAUGAUCGCCUGCAACGGCGCGGCUGGCCAAACGGCUAUUUCUGCGCCCUCUGUCUCAGGAAUCUAGAAUGCUCCACGCACCUCUUCUGGGACUGCUCACUCGCGCGGUCGGUUUGGGAGAAAGCAUCCUCCUGGAGUGGGAAAGGUCUGAAGACGAUGAUGAUGAUGAUCACCUGGGAGCUAUGGAAGGAGAGGAAUGCAUGCGUUUUCAACAGAAAACUGCCCAGCGCCGACGAUGUGCUGCAUGCUAUCAGAAACACGAUCGAACUAUGGAGAAUGGCGGGUGCAAAAUGUCUAGAGCCCCCCUUCGGGGAACACAUAAAAUAG
RNAcentral lists this ribosomal RNA (1080 nucleotides) under Triticum aestivum (bread wheat). RNAcentral describes it as "partial small subunit ribosomal RNA". The record is from RNAcentral. Lineage: Eukaryota; Viridiplantae; Streptophyta; Magnoliopsida; Poales; Poaceae.